RNAcentral lists this small RNA (125 nucleotides) under Marmota monax (woodchuck). The record is from RNAcentral. Lineage: Eukaryota; Metazoa; Chordata; Mammalia; Rodentia; Sciuridae.
GCUGGGCGCGGUGGUGCAUGCCUGUAAUCUCAGUGACUUGGGAGGCUGAGACAGGAGGAUCACGGGUUCAAAGCCAGCCUCAACAACAAUGAGGCACUAAGGAACUCAGUGAGACCCUGUCUCUA